CACAGUGAACCCAAGCAACGACCAGUAACCGAAUGCAGUAGUACGGUGAAGCAGAGGGGCCGGAGAUCAACAUCAAAAUCAAGUGAACUACAACUAGAACUGAUAGAUAUUACAAAGGAACAGGACAUUUCAUCAUCACAUGUGAAACCGGCCAAUGCCGACAAGAACCAACACCCAUGGUUGAUCAAGCUUUACCGAUCAACAAAAAAAGCCAUCAAGGAUAGGGAGUGUGAUGAUUCACCACAAUCCAUCAGCACAAUCAGUGAUAAUACUUCCAACAACUGCAAAUCUUUGACUGCAUAUGAGCCUCCUUUGAACCUAUACUAACUGUUCAAACAGUUGAAGGCAUCAAACAUCUCUCCAAGGCAUCUCAGGGGUUUAUUCUCAAUCCAUGUCAACUGAGAUUGCAUUUCAAACACUAAUUGGUUGUGAAACUAUACCAUCAUACUAAGUUUAUCUAAAAAUAGUGCAAUGGAGUGCUGGUUCUCAAUGCCAUAAACAACAUGUCAUGUAGAGAUAGAUCAAGGGGUCGAUUUGGCUAUAUACAAUGUCUCAAAUCAAUUCACAGAUCACACAUUACGUAAAUUUCGUGCAGACAAGCCUCAUUAUCAUUAUUAUUUUGAGUAUUUGGCCAAAUUAUGCUGUAGUGAAGUACUCAUAUACAACCCACAAUACUGAAAAGAAAGAGAAAAACAAUUUCAUUGAAGAAGCUUUUUUGCAAGUUCUAAAAGCUGCAAACCUUCAUUUGCUGUUGGUAGUAGUCCUCCGAAAAUUAAAUAAUUCACAGAUACUUAUAAUAAUCUUUCAGGCUAAUUGUCAAUAAAGUAAACAGGAGAACAGGAAAUAUGUUUGACAGGCUUUUCACCCAUCAAGCUAACUAAUCUUACAUGCAGAUAUCAGAUAUGGUACACUAAAGGUCCAUAAAAUUCCUAUCCUUCAUCUCCUAUUCUGCAAACUUCAAAAUUCAUAUCCUAAAACGCCUAUCUGAAU
Non-coding RNA from Camellia sinensis, 990 nucleotides. NCBI's taxonomy places the organism in Eukaryota, Viridiplantae, Streptophyta, Magnoliopsida, Ericales, Theaceae. The record is from RefSeq and is a predicted model, not a curated record.